This 3690-nucleotide long non-coding RNA is filed under the name Equus caballus (horse). Its description in RNAcentral is "lncRNA (ENSECAG00000029164.3)". The record is from RNAcentral. Lineage: Eukaryota; Metazoa; Chordata; Mammalia; Perissodactyla; Equidae.
UAAGUUGUUCCAUAAGUAGGACAUUUGCAGGCAGAUAGAAACAAGGGGCAAACAGUGGCUCAGUACAGGGACUGAGUUAAGUCAGGGGUGUUUUCUGAAGAUGGGGAGGGACCCAGGCACAGGUGGCCACCCGGGCAAGUUUCAGUGAGGAAGGAGGCUGACAGUGGACGUCUCUGAGCCCCCUCACCAGGGGCUGUGCCCAAGGGCUCAGUCUGGUCUCUGCGCCCCCACCUCUGGGAGCCUCGUUGCCCCUCCUCCUCUCCCCGGGCGUAUGAUGCUGUGAUGCGUGUUCUCAGGAAGUAGCCAGCGCUCUGGGCCCAGACCCAUCCUUCCAAGGGAGCGCCAGGGUCCAUCUGGUCCAGUGUGGCCCCCACGGCAUCUUCGGCCUUGUCAUCUCCAGCAUGGCCAUGCUUGGCUCCCUCCUUGGACCACCUGUGUCCAGCUCCCGGCUGCAAAGGCGUCGCUGGACUGCAGGCCCGGCAUACCCUGUCCCCCAGGCCCCCAGCAUCCCUCCCCACAUUCCAAACCCAGUGAUCUGCUUGAUAGAAGAGGACGUGAUUCUUUUCCAGCUUCAGAUUCACCCUGACAGUGAGUCUGCCCCUCGGCCCCGCCCUCCCGCUCUGGCUCCCUCAUCCCUCCCUAUCCGUCUGCCUGGUGACAUCACGUACAGACCGUGCCUUCGAAGUCGUGGGGCACAGGCUGGUGCUGUCCCCUGCUCUCGGCCUGUUCGGUCACUUCCCUGGGGGCCUUCAUUCCAUAUCUUGAGCAGAUGUUUCAGCUCCAGCAUUCUGAGACUCCUCCUGCAGCCCGUGGAGGUGUCAGACUUCUGUGCCUUGGGGGGAAUGGAUUUUGAGGAGAAAAAACAUGGGGCAGAGAGGUAUGGAAUAGAAAAUAAAUAUAAAUGUAACCUGUGUGGCUGUCUUAUAACCAUGGCAGAUUAGUACAGAGAAUGCCCUGUACGGAACAACACACUGAAGGCUCCAGAUCGAGGUCCUCCCUUUGGGGAGGCUGAGGCUUCAGUCUCUGGCAUUUGGAAUGUAGGCAGCAUCCUUGCUUUUGGCCAGAUCGCCGGGUGUGUGGCACAGCCUGUGCUUUUCAGAUUUACACAGAAUGGCCACUUGGCCCAGGUAGAAGUCAAUGAAGUGUUUCGUUCCACGUGUCACGUAACCACUGAUGUACCUCCCCGAGACGCGUGCCAAGGCAAUGAGUGUCAAAGAGGGGAACACUCCCUGGAAAGUGAGCUCCACACUGGACAUGUGUGCCCUGGUUUCUAGGCCCAGCUCUUCCACAAACCGCUGGGAACUGGGGUAACCUCCACCCUCUCUUCACCUUGAUAUUUACCUCUGCCAGUGAACCCAUUUGCGUUCCCCCUUCUCCCCACUGUGAGGGAGGUAAGAUCAGAGCCCCAUCAUGAGGGGCUGGGGGGCUCAGGAAGAAGAACUAACACCUGCACACAGGUAAGGCCUCCUUGUGCAGUGGGAACAACCAGGUGGCGCCUGCCUGUAUGGCAGCCCCAUCCACCUCCUUAGCUGCUCAUUCUCUCAGCCAUCCCAUAGCAUUUAUUGAAUACCUGCUGCAUGUCCAUACUGUGCUGCCUUCCAGGGGUGCACAGUUGAACACGUCCCUGUUCUGAGAGUCCCAGGGCAUCAGGCUGGCCUCACCCACAGAGGGGCGUCAGGCCUGGUGCCCCCUGCUCAGAGUGUGCCCUCUCUGUGGGCAGAGGGAAGAAGAGUCUUGCCUGGCAGCAUGAUUACUAAGGGCACGUUACAUACAUGAGAGGGGAACUGUGUCUCAGCCACUCACUCUUGUGAGCACAGGAUGCUGAGCUCCCCAGAUGUGGGCUGCCCCAGGCUGGGGCUGGGGAGGCCUCUGGGACCCAGCCCAGCCCCGGCUCGCUCCCCAGAUCGCCCAGCCAGUCACUACCCCGUGUACCAGAAGCAGCACCUGUUCAACAGCAACCCCCACUGGGACUUCGGGGCCUUCAGGAGGCUCAGCCACCUAGUGCGAGAGACUCAAGUCAACUUCUCCAGGUUUGUCCACCAGUUCUUAGAUCCGGGCACAUACGUGUUUCGAGACAACGCACUUCCCGAGAGCGUUGUGGUGGUGUCGGUGAAGGAGAAGGGGAUAGCCUGCGGCCCUGGCCUGUCCUCUGUGCAGCCCUCCUCCCCGUACCAGCUCUCCAGGCAUGGCAUCGUCAGGCACAGGCUGCCAACCCUGGGCCCAGACUGGGCCGUGAUCACAGGGGUGCUGCUGGCUGUCGGCUUGGCAACUGCGCUGCUGACAGGCCUGGGCCUUGUGCUGAGCCCCCCGCUGGCCCAGACCUGCCCAGUCAGAGCUUGGAGACUCCGGGGGAGGGGCCUCAGGGAGCCUCACGUGCCUGCUGACUGCGUGCCUCUCGGGGACAGCCUUACCGUCCGUGAAGACCUCGGUCCUCAGGGCUCUGGGGAAGGAGCCAGCUGCAGGCAGAGAGCCGUUCCCCGGGACACAGGGGAGCCACACCCUGUGAACACCCUAGAGGACUUCAGCGUCCGCACACUCUAUGACAAGCUUGAGGACCAGAGCCUGCACUUGGUGGCCCAGCUGAGCAAGCACAGGAGCGACGCACUGGCCUUCUACAGGGGCGCCAGCCAGCAACUCCAGGGGCUCAAGGACUUUCUGCAGGGCGUCAGCAUGACCGAGCGGCAAGAUCUGGGCAGAGGUGGAGACCUGGAGAUGGGAGCCAAAGCCACUGCCAGGACAGACACUGGGCAGAGAGAGGAAUGGUGCAGUGGUCACACUGCAGCUUCUCCAAGGGUGCGCUGGCAGCAUCCUCUAGGCCUCCGCUCAGGGGGGUGAACAGCCUCUUCCCUCCUGUCAACAAGACCCUCAACUGGUGAGUGACACGCUCCUGAAGCCCCGGCCUCAGCCCUCGGAUGAGGAGCAUCAAAGUGCAAGCCCCCAGAAGACCCCAGGACCUGGACGGCUCCGUCAGGGUGAUGCCAAAGGAGGGGACACUGAGAGCCCAGUUUCCGGACACAGGCACGGAGCCUUUCCUGAGCUGCAGAGAAAGAUAUGGCAGGUGGAAGACAUCUUGGACGAACUGAAUAAAGAGUUCUUCCAGCUCACUGCUCAAGCCCUAGAGCUCCAGAAAGAAGAGCACCAGCCAGACCACCUGCCCCCAAGGAAACACAGUACAUUUGCGGUGGUUCCCAGCAUCUUCCCUCAUGCAGAGCAGGAAGACAGACCUAACCCAGCAGAGGCAGGCGGCCCAGACAGAAAGAGUGUGGGAACCUGGGCCCUGAAGAGCGAGCAGGCCCUGAUCCUGGCGGUGAGGAGAGCCUGCCUGGCUCAGAGGAUCGAAGGCCUGGACUGGGAGCUGUCCCUGCUCCUCCAGGUGGCAGAGGGCAGCACGUGUGCAGGAUGGAGCCAGCCCAGCCUGGGGAGACGCUGAGUCACCCAGGGUGCUGCGGCGGUCAUCUGUGGCAGUGCCUUCUCCACAAAGAACAUGGCCAGGUUACUCUGCGCACUCCAGGCAGGAAGACGUGGGCGUCGCAGGGGCCGCCCUGGCUGGGAAUGUGAGCUCGGUUAUGGCAUGCUCCUAUCUGGUAACACCCAGGUUUCUUUCAGAGCCUGGACCUCGGCUUGUGCUGAUUGCUAUCUGUGAUCCUUUGGGGUGAGGGAAAAUAAAGUCACACAGGUUGAGAAUAUCAA